This 301-nucleotide ribosomal RNA is filed under the name uncultured bacterium. RNAcentral's name for it is "partial 16S ribosomal RNA". It matches the Rfam family "Bacterial small subunit ribosomal RNA", at positions 509 to 807 of the family's 1533-position model. The record is from RNAcentral.
CAGCAGCCACGGUAAGUCGAACCGUGCGAACGUUAUUCGGAAUCACUGGGCUUAGAGCGCGUGUAGGCGGAUGGGAGCGUCGGCCUCUGAAAUCCCCCGGCUCAACCGGGGAAGUGGAGCCGAAACGACCCGUCUGGAGGGACGUAGGGGGACCUGGAACUUCCGGUGGAGCGGUGAAAUGCGUUGAGAUCGGAAGGAACGCCCGUGGCGAAAGCGAGCCCCUGGACGUUUUCUGACACUGAGACGCGAAAGCCAGGGGAGCGAACGGGAUUAGAGACCCGCGUAGUCCCUGUCUCUUAUU